This is a long non-coding RNA of Fukomys damarensis (Damara mole-rat), 178 nucleotides long. RefSeq lists it as uncharacterized. The record is from RefSeq and is a predicted model, not a curated record. NCBI's taxonomy places the organism in Eukaryota, Metazoa, Chordata, Mammalia, Rodentia, Bathyergidae. The transcript is spliced from 3 exons.
UGAACAGAAAAGAAAGUGAUAGAAAAGUAAAGUUAUCAUCUUCACUGGCCACCUGCAAGAGUCUUUGACAACUUUAAGCAUGGACUUUAGGGGAAAAAAAUCACAAAUGUGGCACUAGCCCUCAAAAACAGGCUUGGCAACAAGAAGACCUUCAAAUAAAAGUUGAAGUGCUAUCCAU